RNAcentral lists this long non-coding RNA (412 nucleotides) under Trifolium pratense (red clover). Its description in RNAcentral is "long non-coding RNA (TPRA_LNC007036)". Lineage: Eukaryota; Viridiplantae; Streptophyta; Magnoliopsida; Fabales; Fabaceae. The record is from RNAcentral.
UCUUAGGAAAGGUAAUUCUCAUAAUACACCCUGCGUAAUAAAUUUCAAUGACGACAAUGGUUAUUUUAACAUUAACAAAUUAAAAAUACAAUUAUUGCUUGUAGUAGGCCAGGAAACACUUAAAAAUAUUUAGAAUUGAAUGGAAGAUGAUUAAUUCUAGUGGUGUAUGAUUUAGUAAUGAGGAGUGCUAGCAACACACUCUUUAACAAACACACUUUAACACACUCUCUUCUAUUGGUUAAAAUUUAUAUGAGUACCAUAAAAGUUAUAUGGGUCCACAUUUUUUUAUGGGACUCAUGUGAAUUUCAACCAAUAAAAAAGAGUGUAUUGAAGUGUGUUUAUUAAAGAGUGUGUUGCUAGCAUUAUUCUUUAGUAAUUACCCCCCCUGCUUAUGAAUCAUUUUUAUGCAAAU